AUUGAACGCUGGCGGCAGGCCUAACACAUGCAAGUCGAGCGAGCGGCGGACGGGGGAGUAAUGCCCGGGAAACUGCCUGAUGGAGGGGGAUAACUACAGGAAACGGUAGCUAAUACUGCAUACCAUCAGAUGUGAACAGAUGGGAUUAGGUAGUGGGUGGGGUAAUGGCCCACCUGGGAGACGAUCCCUAGCUGGUCUGAGAGGAUGACCGGCCACACUGGAACGGAGACACGGUCCAGACUCCAACGGAGGGCAGCAGUGGGGAAUAUUGCACAAUGGGCGCAAGCCUGAUGCAGCCAUGCCGCGGGUGUGAAGAAGGCCUUCGGGUUGUAAAGCACUUUCAGCGGGGAGGCGUUACCCGCAGAAGAAGCACCGGCUAACUCCGUGCCAGCAGCCGCGGUAAUAC
RNAcentral lists this ribosomal RNA (406 nucleotides) under uncultured bacterium. RNAcentral describes it as "partial 16S ribosomal RNA". It matches the Rfam family "Bacterial small subunit ribosomal RNA", at positions 29 to 526 of the family's 1533-position model. The record is from RNAcentral.